AGGGAAUAUUGGACAAUGGGGGCAACCCUGAUCCAGCCAUGCCGCGUGAGUGAAGAAGGCCCUCGGGUUGUAAAGCUCUUUUGUCCGGAAAGAAAAGCAUUCGGUGAAUACCCGGAUGUUCUGACGGUACCGGAAGAAUAAGCACCGGCUAACUUCGUGCCAGCAGCCGCGGUAAUACGAAGGGUGCAAGCGUUACUCGGAAUUACUGGGCGUAAAGCGUGCGUAGGUGGUUGUUUAAGUCUGAUGUGAAAGCCCUGGGCUCAACCUGGGCAUGGCAUUGGAAACUGGGCAGCUAGAGUGCGGUAGAGGGUAGUGGAAUUCCCGGUGUAGCAGUGCAAUGCGUAGAGAUCGGGAGGAACAUCUGUGGCGAAGGCGACUGCCUGGACCAGCACUGACACUGAGGCACGAAAGCGUGG
Molecule: ribosomal RNA, 416 nt
Filed under: uncultured bacterium
Lineage: Bacteria
Description: bacterial SSU rRNA
Rfam family: Bacterial small subunit ribosomal RNA
Source: RNAcentral